UCCAGUGAUGAUUAAAUCUUUGAGACCUGAUUGUCUAAUUUGAUGACAAAUUAUAAGCAAAUUUCUCUGAGGAU
RNAcentral lists this small nucleolar RNA (74 nucleotides) under Erythranthe guttata (spotted monkey flower). RNAcentral describes it as "Mimulus guttatus (spotted monkey flower) Small nucleolar RNA R66". It matches the Rfam family "Small nucleolar RNA R66". Rfam says of the family: snoR66 is a C/D box small nucleolar RNA, which acts as a methylation guide for 18S ribosomal RNA in plants. snoR66 has been alternatively named snoZ269 in rice. Lineage: Eukaryota; Viridiplantae; Streptophyta; Magnoliopsida; Lamiales; Phrymaceae. The record is from Rfam by way of RNAcentral.